AGUAGUGAGAGUAAUCCACAGAUUGUGGUCUGUGAGAUAACUAGUGAGUGGUAGUAAUAUGGUAGUGAAGUAUUUUGAAAGAGUGUUAUUUCUUUCAAAGUUGUAGUAGUCUCUUGACACUACUGAGUUGUAAUAUUAUAGUGGUAAUAUUGCUCCACUCGGGUAUUGCAUUUUAUCCUGCUAUAAUAUUUGGUGUCAUUGUUACUUUCUUGUGUUAUUAUUAUCUGCUGUGAAUAUUGCUCCUAGGCGAGAUUAUUUUUUAUACCAACAUCCAUAUCUUGCCAAAUGCAUCAUCUCAGGUACUGUUCCCAAUUCUUGUUCAAUCUUGCUUAGCGCUGAUAAUAUAUCCCCUUUAUUAAAGUUCCUCUUCUUCAUUUACAAAGGUGGCUGUGAUGCAUCAGCUGGGUUGGUUUAUUGGUUUAGGAAUGGCCAUAACCGGAGGCGCCAAGCCAAGAUUUUGAGUUUAUGAAUUUUGGAUUCUAGAAAAGGCACCUUAGUAGUUUCUGAAUAAAUUAUUUAUUCGUGAGUUUUUAAUUCAAAUAUAUGGUCUGGACCAUAGCUACUAGGUUAUGUCGAACCCGUACUUAGAACUCUAGCUUCGCCCCUGGCCAUAACCAUAGGGCCCCUGACUGUGCUAUCAGGUCAGAGCAUGUGACCGAAACUUCCACUUCCUCUUGCAAGGUUAGACUACUUUCCUUUUUCUUUUUUUCUUUUUUUAAUAAAAGAAUCAAGCUGUCAAGUAAUUAGAUCCCUCUAACUAAGGCCUUGACCAAUAAGAUGCAUGUGCUCAAUCUUUUUUAUGAUAACAGUCCUAUUGUGAAGUGAAGGAAGAGUACACAGUUUCAUAGUUCCUGUAGACUUCUUUGCAGGAUCCAGUUUACCUGAGUGAAUACUCUUAUGCUGCGCAAAGCAAGGUUGUUUAGUUCAACAGUGUAAUCUCCACUGAUUUUUAUAUAAUAUAGAUUAAAUCGGUUCACUUCAAUCUGCUGUCUUGAGGAGCGUAAAGGAAAUCUACUUCCAGGUAGAGAAGAUAAUUUCUUACUGAUGAAUGAAAGUGAAUCCAAAAUUGCUGCCCUGUAAAGGAUUUUGAAGUAAACUAAAUUCUACCUGUAAACUAAAUUCUACUUUGAAGACACACUUUGAUUAAUAAUGCAUGUCUUGGUUGAUAUUAACACUUUUGCAUCCAUGAACUGAGAUGUUGCUUGUUGGAUGACCUUGCAUUUGAGGUCUUUGAGCUUGAAUUAGAUGUCAUCCUGAUAUGCUCAUAAUAGGUUCUUGUUCUGCAUAUAAGAUGUGUGAAUAGUCAGUGGAGAAUUUUCAUCGAGGAGAGUCAAAAUAUAAAGAAACAAACUCACCACGAAGUCAAGAGGUGUCAAUACUUAGUAUGUAUAAUAUAUUUCAUAAAAAAAAAUUAUCUAACUACACAGUGUAAAUUUUCGACAAAGGGUGUGUCGGCUUUAAGUGCAUGUGGCUCCGCCACUGGGAAUAGUGCUGGCAGUACAUCAGCUUCUCCUAUGCUGAUUGACCUUUUGGCACCAAACCUGGACUAGUCACUAUUUUCCUGUUUUUGUUUCCUUAUAGAUAGACUUGGGAGGCGUCAAUGAGAUCAACAACUGCCACUUUGUUACUGAUGACUUAUCAGACACCAACAUCAUGUAAAAGUCUUUUCACACAGUUAUAAAAAGUAUCCUGUUGUUCUUGAAAUUUUAAUGGCUGAUAUCCUAAGAGUACUCCCUUUGUCAUGGCUCAGUGGGCUGCAGAAGGUAAGAAGGAAUUUCUGCCUGUCACAAACAACAAGGAUGGAUACUCUUUCCUCUAUACUUUUGGGUGGCAGGUCAUUCUGAAUUUGAUGGCUAUAAUGUUCUCUAUUGGUUUUCUUUUUACGGUUGUCUUUUGUUCCUAUGUCAUAGUUAUGUCAAUAAAUUGCUGGACAAACUGGAGUAUGGAGCUGCAUUUGUUGGUUUUGCAAUUUCAAUUCCUUAAUCCAUAAGUACGUUAGAAAAUUCUAGUCACCUUUAAUAUAAUUCCACUAAUUUUUAAAGUGAAGAUAAAGUAUUAGUGUAAAUGUGAUACCAAGCAGUAAAGUGGACAUACGAGAUUUUGGUUCGCCACAACAGGUUUGUUGAAAUGCUAGAUUAUUUAUCCCAGAUAUUUAUAUAACUGUUUGGCUGUUUUGGAUUAUUUUGCUCCACGAAGUAAUUAUAAUUUUCACUGAUUGCAUAUUAAUUUGGGAUUGUGGCACUCGUCAAUGUAUUCUUACCAGAACUAUUCAUAUUGCAGGUUGCUGAAAUUUUAACAAAAACGUUUUUGGUGUCACCUUCUCAGAAAACAAAACUGAUUCACGCAUCAGAGCGCAGCGUUGAUGACAAAACCUAUUACACAUUCGAGUUUACUGCACAAGUCCCAAAUUAUGCUCGCCAUGCAAUCACUGCAGUCUGCAUUGGCAACGGAAAGUUCUUUACUUGACAAAUGGGGAGAAGAUGAAGGAUAGAUUACAUACUGUGGUUGACUCUUUCCAAACUUUCAAUGUCUAAUAGAAUAAUAUACUUUAGUAACACAUUGCUUCGUGGUGUUAAAUUCCAGAGGAAAAUAUCUGGGAUUGGAGGUUGUAUAAUGCAGAGGCGAACUUAGGAUUUAAAUC
Nicotiana tabacum (common tobacco) is the source of this 2641-nucleotide non-coding RNA. The record is from RefSeq and is a predicted model, not a curated record. NCBI's taxonomy places the organism in Eukaryota, Viridiplantae, Streptophyta, Magnoliopsida, Solanales, Solanaceae.